AUCAGGGGAUCUUGUUAAAAUGCAGAUCCUGAUUCAUCAGGUCUGGGGUUCUGCGUUUCUAACAAGCUUCCAGGUGAUGCUCA
This 83-nucleotide microRNA precursor is filed under the name Pteropus alecto (black flying fox). RNAcentral's name for it is "mir-544 microRNA precursor family". It matches the Rfam family "mir-544 microRNA precursor family". Lineage: Eukaryota; Metazoa; Chordata; Mammalia; Chiroptera; Pteropodidae. The record is from Rfam by way of RNAcentral.